This 297-nucleotide long non-coding RNA is filed under the name Vulpes vulpes (red fox). Its description in RNAcentral is "lncRNA (ENSVVUG00000021873.1)". The record is from RNAcentral. Lineage: Eukaryota; Metazoa; Chordata; Mammalia; Carnivora; Canidae.
UAGAGAGGAAUGCCAGUUAUGAUUUCAUAAUAGGGACAAUAAUUUACCAGGACCUUAAAAGGUAUGGAAGCUUUUGCCAAGUUAACUGGGGAAGUAAGAUGGGAAAAGAAAUAUAUGUAAGGGGGAAAACAGGAUGUGCGAAGGCAUGAAAACAUGUGUUCUCAGGGGAUCUUCUUCUUGUUUGUCUUACCGGAAUCACUGGUGAAAUCAACACAGCUAGAGUGGGGAGAUUCAUUUGUUAACUGUUGCUUCAGAAGCCAUGAAAAGAGCAAGAAGCCUGCAGGCCAUCAUUUGUAG